Molecule: ribosomal RNA, 433 nt
Filed under: uncultured bacterium
Lineage: Bacteria
Description: partial 16S ribosomal RNA
Rfam family: Bacterial small subunit ribosomal RNA
Source: RNAcentral
AACGAACGCUGGCGGCAUGCCUAACACAUGCCAGUCGAACGAGACCUUCGGGUCUAGUGGCGCACGGGUGCGUAACGCGUGGGAACCUGCCCUUAGGUUCGGAAUAACUCCCCGAAAGGGGUGCUAAUACCGGCUAAUGUCUUCGGACCAAAGAUUUAUCGCCUUUGGAUGGGCCCGCGUUGGAUUAGCUAGUUGGUAGGGUAAAAGCCUACCACGGCGACGAUCCAUAGCUGGUCUGAGAGGAUGAUCAGCCACACUGGGACUGAGACACGGCCCAGACUCCUACGGGACGCAGCAGUGAAGAAUAUGAGACAAUGGGCGAAAGCCUGAGCCAGCAAUGCCGCGUGAGUGAUGAAGGCCUUAGGGUUGUAAAGCUCUUUUACCCGGGAUGAUAAUGACAGUACCGGGAGAAUAAGCUCCGGCUAACUCCGUG